ACAAACGCCGCAUCGUACACAGACAUCUUUUUCAGUAAUCAAAAUCACUUCAGUGCAUCUGUAUUUCCAAUAACUUCAGUUAUAUUACUACGUAUUACUAUUUUAUGAGUAAAACUAACAAAAUGGAAUACUGAAUGAGUACGGUUUCGUUUCCCGGCGAUAUUCUGGUCGGAUUCUUGAUUUUAAUGGUGGGGCAAUGGGUUUAUCGGCAGAAUAGUGUAAACUUUGAAAUGGGGUUUUUCCGGUGGAAUUCUUGAUUUUCCGGUGACUAUAGACAGAGAGAAGUGGGCAGAGAGAGAGAGAGAGAGA
RNAcentral lists this unclassified non-coding RNA (309 nucleotides) under Hevea brasiliensis (rubber tree). Lineage: Eukaryota; Viridiplantae; Streptophyta; Magnoliopsida; Malpighiales; Euphorbiaceae. The record is from RNAcentral.